AGUAGAACGCUGAAGAGAGGAGCUUGCUCUUCUUGGAUGAGUUGCGAACGGGUGAGUAACGCGUAGGUAACCUGCCUUGUAGCGGGGGAUAACUAUUGGAAACGAUAGCUAAUACCGCAUAACAAUGGAUGACACAUGUCAUUUAUUUGAAAGGGGCAAUUGCUCCACUACAAGAUGGACCUGCGUUGUAUUAGCUAGUAGGUGAGGUAACGGCUCACCUAGGCGACGAUACAUAGCCGACCUGAGAGGGUGAUCGGCCACACUGGGACUGAGACACGGCCCAGACUCCUACGGGAGGCAGCAGUAGGGAAUCUUCGGCAAUGGGGGCAACCCUGACCGAGCAACGCCGCGUGAGUGAAGAAGGUUUUCGGAUCGUAAAGCUCUGUUGUAAGUCAAGAACGAGUGUGAGAGUGGAAAGUUCACACUGUGACGGUAGCUUACCAGAAAGGGACGGCUAACUACGUGCCAGCAGCCGCGGUAAUACGUAGGUCCCGAGCGUUGUCCGGAUUUAUUGGGCGUAAAGCGAGCGCAGGCGGUUUGAUAAGUCUGAAGUUAAAGGCUGUGGCUCAACCAUAGUUCGCUUUGGAAACUGUCAAACUUGAGUGCAGAAGGGGAGAGUGGAAUUCCAUGUGUAGCGGUGAAAUGCGUAGAUAUAUGGAGGAACACCGGUGGCGAAAGCGGCUCUCUGGUCUGUAAC
RNAcentral lists this ribosomal RNA (697 nucleotides) under uncultured Bacilli bacterium. RNAcentral describes it as "bacterial SSU rRNA". It matches the Rfam family "Bacterial small subunit ribosomal RNA", at positions 60 to 740 of the family's 1533-position model. The record is from RNAcentral. Lineage: Bacteria; Bacillati; Bacillota; Bacilli.